GGGGCAUGCUGUUGGCUUGUGGACUUCACUUCAGGUUUUUAGGUUGCUUAAGAUUUGUACUGACUUGUGUGACUCGUGCUGGCACAAUACUACUUGAGGCCUCUUUUCAACCAAAAUUUCCGCCUUUAGGAAAUAACCGUACCCUCCAGUCAAAGGAAAUGACAAGGAAAUGAUGGUGUAGUAGAUGAAACAGAUUUUUGCUGAGAUGGACUUCGUGAUUGACCUUAGGUGUGGUUUGUAUGUGUUAUCAUGAUGCUUAGGACACGGGAUUUACAUUGUGGAAUGCCAUGGCAUGCUGCAAGUAUAAUGCACUUGGCUUGGAUGAUGAUGCAGGCUGGAGACUAUUGAAGAUGUCCCUUGUGGUAAGAGUUGCUUUGGCUGGUUUAGAUCAAUUUAUCACCAAAAAUGCCGCUUUGACAAAUGCGAAAGAAGUCGAUGCACACCCUAUUCGUGUUAUGAAGUUUUCCGUUGCCUGCUGUGCGUGCUGCUGUUUUUUUAAUUGUGCAAGUGGCAGUAUGCGUGCGGCUCGUAACCUUUGGGAGAAAAUAGCACAAGGAGUUUGUUGCGGUCAAUAUACCCGCUGUUUCCGGCUUGACAUGAAGUUAUGUAUUUGGAUCAUAGGCUAGGAUUUUCCCUUUGGCAAUUUGCAAACAGUUGUAACUCUUAUUUGUAACACAUAAACGUAUGGACGUGUAUGUAUUAUUCUUCAAAUUUGUGCAUUCCUAUAUGCUUGAAUUUUAGCAGUAAACAUGAUGUUCAUUGUGGGUAAACACGCCUGAGCUGGCUUUGUAGAUAUAGUAUGAACGAGAUCUGUGUAUUGGUUCACAAAGGUUCCUGGAAUGUAAUUUUGGCUUUUGAAAUGAACAUGGUUUAUAUUAA
Lathyrus oleraceus (garden pea) is the source of this 879-nucleotide long non-coding RNA. RefSeq lists it as uncharacterized. The transcript has 3 exons. The record is from RefSeq and is a predicted model, not a curated record. NCBI's taxonomy places the organism in Eukaryota, Viridiplantae, Streptophyta, Magnoliopsida, Fabales, Fabaceae.